UGCUUUCAAUGUUCCAAGCAUUUUGUUUGUCUCUUUGGUGAACUCCUUUCCUUUGCAUUCCCCUCCCUACGUGACCAACAAAGUCCCACUAUUUAUGCUUGUUGAUUAUUUAAUAUUCCCAGAGUAGUAAUAGGAGUAGAAAAAUUAGAAUGUUUUUAAGGUGGCUUGGAAGACAUCACAAUUGCUAAUUAUGACAAGCCAAAUGAGGAGUUGUCAUGAGACUUAAGCUGAGGAUUCACCAAGCUUAAAACUAUCCAGGUUGAUAUGAUUACUGUCCAGAGGGCUUGACAUUUACAAUAAAAAAGCAGAGGAAGCUAGACCUGGAAGCAAGAGAGACAGGACAUGGGAAAAAGAACAAAGCAGGGAAGAGGAAAUACUACUUCUAUUAAAAAGAAACAAUAGAGGCUACUUACCGACCCAGUGCCACCUGGUUUCGACGAACACAGCUGGGAUAUGUGAGCGAGCAGAUGGAUAUUCAGUGAAUAAUAAUGUGCCUACAACAGCAGGAUCAAAACCAAAAGAAAAGUAUUGGUGA
Molecule: long non-coding RNA, 535 nt
Filed under: Papio anubis (olive baboon)
Lineage: Eukaryota; Metazoa; Chordata; Mammalia; Primates; Cercopithecidae
Description: lncRNA (ENSPANG00000048262.1)
Source: RNAcentral